AAUAGAUAUCGUCAUUGUUCUUUUAUUACACAUUUGAUCAUUCGUCUUAUUCAAAAAAAUUGUGUAAUUAUAAUUAAUUUUGUUGUGAGUUAUUUUGUUACUCAAAGUACUUUAAGCAUGAUUUAUAUCUUAUAUAUUCACAUAAAUUUUUUUAAUAAGACGAAUGGUUAAACGUGGGUUCAAAAAUCAACGGCGACAUCUAUU
This 204-nucleotide microRNA precursor is filed under the name Oryza glumipatula. RNAcentral describes it as "MIR812 microRNA precursor family". It matches the Rfam family "MIR812 microRNA precursor family". Lineage: Eukaryota; Viridiplantae; Streptophyta; Magnoliopsida; Poales; Poaceae. The record is from Rfam by way of RNAcentral.